Molecule: ribosomal RNA, 608 nt
Filed under: Streptomyces levis
Lineage: Bacteria; Bacillati; Actinomycetota; Actinomycetes; Kitasatosporales; Streptomycetaceae
Description: bacterial SSU rRNA
Rfam family: Bacterial small subunit ribosomal RNA
Source: RNAcentral
GGGUGAGUAACACGUGGGCAAUCUGCCCUGCACUCUGGGACAAGCCCUGGAAACGGGGUCUAAUACCGGAUACUGAUCCUCGCAGGCAUCUGCGAGGUUCGAAAGCUCCGGCGGUGCAGGAUGAGCCCGCGGCCUAUCAGCUAGUUGGUGAGGUAACGGCUCACCAAGGCGACGACGGGUAGCCGGCCUGAGAGGGCGACCGGCCACACUGGGACUGAGACACGGCCCAGACUCCUACGGGAGGCAGCAGUGGGGAAUAUUGCACAAUGGGCGAAAGCCUGAUGCAGCGACGCCGCGUGAGGGAUGACGGCCUUCGGGUUGUAAACCUCUUUCAGCAGGGAAGAAGCGAAAGUGACGGUACCUGCAGAAGAAGCGCCGGCUAACUACGUGCCAGCAGCCGCGGUAAUACGUAGGGCGCAAGCGUUGUCCGGAAUUAUUGGGCGUAAAGAGCUCGUAGGCGGCUUGUCACGUCGGUUGUGAAAGCCCGGGGCUUAACCCCGGGUCUGCAGUCGAUACGGGCAGGCUAGAGUUCGGUAGGGGGAGAUCGGAUUUCCUGGUGUACGGUGAAAUGCGCAAAAUAUCAGGAGAACCACCGGUGGCGAAGGGCG